RNAcentral lists this ribosomal RNA (429 nucleotides) under uncultured bacterium. RNAcentral describes it as "bacterial SSU rRNA". It matches the Rfam family "Bacterial small subunit ribosomal RNA", at positions 355 to 776 of the family's 1533-position model. The record is from RNAcentral.
UGGGGAAUAUUGCGCAAUGGGCGAAAGCCUGACGCAGCGACGCCGCGUGGAGGAUGAAGGUCUUCGGAUUGUAAACUUCUGUUAAGUGGGAAAAAAGGCCCUUUUCUAAUACAGAAGGGAGAUGAUGGUACCAUUAGAGAAAGCACCGGCUAAUCUCGUGCCAGCAGCCGCGGUAAUACGAGAGGUGCAAGCGUUAUUCGGAAUCAUUGGGCGUAAAGGGCGUGUAGACGGUGUAUUAAGUCUGUUGUUAAAUCCCUCGGCUCAACCGAGGAUGUGCAGCGGAAACUGGUAUGCUAGAGGUUGGAAGAGAGAAGUGGAAUUCUCGGAGUAGCGGUAAAAUGCGUAGAUCUCGAGAGGAACACCAAUGGCGAAGGCAGCUUCUUGGUCCAUACCUGACGUUGAGACGCGAAAGCGUGGGGAGCAAACAGG